GAGUAGCUUAUACUCCGACGGUCAGUUACAGAUCAGUUUCAACGCUCGUAUAUUUAUUAUAAAUCCACUCAAUAAACUUGUAACUGUCAGUGCCUUUGUUGGGAUUCUGCCCCCACAUUUUGAAGCUGCCAGUGUUACAAAUGGAGCCCCCAGUGAGGAUUGUCAAGUGACAGGAGUGGACCAGCGGAGCAUUUGAACAGAUGUUCGUAUUGAUACUUAAAAAGCAGUCACAGUGCUAACCUCCCCCAAGGCUGAGAGAGACCAGGUGGAGAGUAGCUUAUACUCCGACGGUCAGUUACAGAUCAGUUUCAACGCUCGUAUAUUUAUUAUAAAUCCACUCAAUAAACUUGUAACUGUCA
Long non-coding RNA from Dreissena polymorpha, 359 nucleotides. RefSeq lists it as uncharacterized. The record is from RefSeq and is a predicted model, not a curated record. Lineage: Eukaryota; Metazoa; Mollusca; Bivalvia; Myida; Dreissenidae. The transcript is spliced from 2 exons.